RNAcentral lists this ribosomal RNA (433 nucleotides) under uncultured bacterium. Its description in RNAcentral is "partial 16S ribosomal RNA". It matches the Rfam family "Bacterial small subunit ribosomal RNA", at positions 29 to 507 of the family's 1533-position model. The record is from RNAcentral.
AGCGAACGCUGGCGGCAGGCCUAACACAUGCAAAUCGAACGAACUCUUCGGAGUUAGUGGCGGACGGGUGAGUAACACGUGGGAACGUGCCUUUAGGUUCGGAAUAACUCAGGGAAACUUGUGCUAAUACCGAAUGUGCCCUUCGGGGGAAAGAUUUAUCGCCUUUAGAGCGGCCCGCGUCUGAUUAGCUAGUUGGUGAGGUAAAGGCUCACCAAGGCGACGAUCAGUAGCUGGUCUGAGAGGAUGAUCAGCCACAUUGGGACUGAGACACGGCCCAAACUCCUACGGGAGGCAGCAGUGGGGAAUCUUGCGCAAUGGGCGAAAGCCUGACGCAGCCAUGCCGCGUGAAUGAUGAAGGUCUUAGGAUUGUAAAAUUCUUUCACCGGGGACGAUAAUGACGGUACCCGGAGAAGAAGCCCCGGCUAACUUCGUG